This 408-nucleotide ribosomal RNA is filed under the name uncultured bacterium. Its description in RNAcentral is "partial 16S ribosomal RNA". It matches the Rfam family "Bacterial small subunit ribosomal RNA", at positions 28 to 526 of the family's 1533-position model. The record is from RNAcentral.
GACGAACGCUGGCGGCGUGCUUAACACAUGCAAGUCGAACGAAGUGGCGAACGGGUGAGUAACGCGUAAUCAACCUGCCCUUCAGAGGGGGACAACAGUUGGAAACGACUGCUAAUACCGCAUACUUAAGGAGGGGAUUGCGUCUGAUUAGCUAGUUGGAGGGGUAACGGCCCACCACGGCGAUGAUCAGUAGCAGGUCUGAGAGGAUGAACGGCAAAAUUGGGACUGAGACAAGGCCCAGAAUCCUACGGGAGGCAGCAGUGGGGAAUCUGCCGCAAUGGAAGAAAGUCUGACGGAGAAACGCCGCGUGAGUGAUGACGGCCUUCGGGUUGUAAAGCUCUGUUAAUCGGGACGCGGUACCGGAAUAGAAAGCCACGGCUAACUACGUGCCAGCAGCCGCGGUAAUAC